UGCAGGGACUUUCACCUCCAUCAGCAAAUGGGGCAAGACAGCCAAGACUAACCCAGGUGUCUUGCGGGCAUCUCGCCCAAUUGUACAAUUCUGAACAAGACUCUUACUAUCAACCGUUUAACCCAGGGGUCCUCAAACUUGGCAACUUUAAGACUUCUGGCUGGAGAAUUCUGGGAGUUGAGGUCCACAAGUCUUAAAGUUGCCAAGUUUGGAGACCUCUGGUUUAGCCUCUUUAAGCGCUCCGUAGUCCAUAACCCACAGCCAGCCUCUUCACAAGCGCUUCAAUGCCCUAUUGCUUUUUCCCCUUCUGCACUUCUUAAUUCUGGCCCCAUUUUGUGCCAGAAUCACACAUCUCAAGGUCAGGGCUAUUGCCUCUAGGAGGAAAAAAAUCCAGAUUUCUGCUUCCGGUAAACCACUGUCUGACAAAAUACUGGAGUUGCUUUUAGAACCUGCAGAGGCGAAAAGACCGCAGGCUCUGCAGCGUCCACUGGGUUCUUAUCAUCAGGUGUCUUUUCCCAGCCCCACCUUCUUUCUAGAACAGGGGUGGGAGAGAGUGGCCCUUUAAUGUCUUGUGGACUUCAACUCCCAGAAUUCUUGAGCCCAGCAUGGUGCACGGCUGGCCCAGGAAUUCUGGGAGUUGAAGCCCACGUCUCUUAAAAGGGCCACACUCCCCCCGCCCCUGUUCUACAAGACCCAGAGGGGACAUAAAAAGAACCAUGAUCUCAAGAACCUUUCAGGAUACCAAGAAGGAAAAAGAGAAUCAGUAGUCACUU
Molecule: non-coding RNA, 773 nt
Organism: Pseudonaja textilis
Lineage: Eukaryota; Metazoa; Chordata; Lepidosauria; Squamata; Elapidae
Source: RefSeq, a predicted model, not a curated record